UACGUAGGUGGCCAGCGUUGUCCGGAUUUACUGGGCGUAAAGAGCGCGCAGGCGGUCGUUCAAGUCGAGUGUGAAAGCCCCCGGCUCAACUGGGGAGGGUCACUUGAUACUGAUCGACUCGAAGGCAGGAGAGGGAAGCGGAAUUCCCGGUGUAGUGGUGAAAUGCGUAGAUAUCGGGAGGAACACCAGUGGCGAAGGCGGCUUCCUGGCCUGUUCUUGACGCUGAGGCGCGAAAGCUAGGGGAGCAAACGGG
Molecule: ribosomal RNA, 253 nt
Filed under: uncultured bacterium
Lineage: Bacteria
Description: partial 16S ribosomal RNA
Rfam family: Bacterial small subunit ribosomal RNA
Source: RNAcentral